RNAcentral lists this long non-coding RNA (458 nucleotides) under Marmota monax (woodchuck). The record is from RNAcentral. Lineage: Eukaryota; Metazoa; Chordata; Mammalia; Rodentia; Sciuridae.
UGACAUGCCUUACACCAGUUUCUGAGUCGGUGCUAGAUUUUCCUGCUUUCAUCAGCAAGAACUACAAAUACUCAGUCAGACUCUCAAAUCAUCUUAGAAUUCUAAGGCCAAGUAUAAAAGCUUUAGGCCUUUCCAAGGGGAAGUGAAGACUGCACUAGCUCUAGUUCUGCCAUUGGCUACCCACACGACCAAGUCACUUUCUCAUCCAGUUUCCCCAGCAGGAAAACGGGUGAUUUAUAUUUUGCUAUUUUCAAAAGCAGUGCUGUCCACUAGAGAUAUCCACAAGACACUAAUCUAUCUAAACAAAACCCUAAGAGCAGAAAGAUCAGUAGAGUAGAGGAAAGGGAAUGGGGAGGAGGGAGGGGAGGAGAGGGGGGAGUGCUAGAGACUGAAUUAGAGCAAAUUAUAUUCCAUGCUCUUAUAAUUAUGUCAACAUGAAGCCUAAGGUUAUAUAUAAC